RNAcentral lists this long non-coding RNA (5546 nucleotides) under Sus scrofa (pig). RNAcentral describes it as "lncRNA (ENSSSCG00040051123.1)". Lineage: Eukaryota; Metazoa; Chordata; Mammalia; Artiodactyla; Suidae. The record is from RNAcentral.
UCUGUGACCUACACCACAGCUCACAGCAAUGCUGGAUCCUUAACCCACUGAGCAAGGCUGGAGAUUGAACCCACAACCUCGUGGUUCCUAGUCAGAUUCGUUGACCACUGAGCCACGAUGGGAACUCCCCUGUAACGGCAUUUUUGAUCUCUGUAAAUUUCUAAAGCAAGAUCACUAAGCAGUGGAGCUGUGCAGAGUGCCUUAGCUCUACCCAAGCUGAACAUAUGAAAAAUCAAAUAGAGACGAUCCAGGGCCACAAUUGUGGGAAGUUCCCAGGCUAGGGAGCAAAUCGAAGUUGCACUUUCCAGCCUACACCACAGCCACAGCAAUGUGGAAUUCAAGCUGUGACUGUGACCUACACCACAGCUCAUGGCAGUGCCAGAUCCUUAACCCACUGAGCAAGGCCAGAGAUCGAACCCUUAUCCUCACGGAUACUAGUCUGGUUGUUAACCCCGUGAGCCGUAAGAGGAACAUCUCUCUUCCUUUUCCUAUUAUUUCUUAUAAUCUUCACAAGACUUACAACUAUGUGAAAUUAUCUUGUUCUCUUAGUUAUCAAUACUUUUGUAUCAUCUAUUUCAUUCACCUUACAAUCCAGAUAUAUAUAAGCUAUGUUGGGGUGAGAAGUGUGCCUGAUUUUUUUUACUGAUGUAUUGCAGUUCCUGGAAUAAUGCAGGACACAGAUCUACAUAAUCAAUGGAUGAACUGAUGAAUAAAUUAAUGAAAGAUUGAAUGAAUGUAUAAAUGUCGUUAUCCUCUGCAGAAAGGGGUUAGCAUAUUAGUCUUUAUAAUUCUGUGGACUGUAUUUUGAGGCUUCAGUUAAUUGAAACUUCUUUUUUUUUUCUUUUCUUUUCUAGGGCUGCACCCACAGCAUAUGGAGGUUCCCAGGCUAGGGGUUGAAUCAGAACUGUAGCCGCCAGCCUAUGCCAGAGCCACAGCAAUGCCAGAUCUGAGCCGUGUCUGUGACCUACACCACAGGUCACGACAACACCGGAUCCUUGACCCACUGAGCAAGGCCAGGGAUCGAACCCACAACCUCAUGGUUCCUAGUCGGAUUCGUUAACCGCUGAGCCACGACUGGAACUCCAGUUAAUUGAAACUUCUUAAAAAUAAUUCUUUCUUAUUCAUACAUGCCAUAUUAAUUGUUGAGGCAGGAACACUUUACCAGGUUCUCAAUAGCUUGCUCUCCUAUGGACAAAACAUAAGUACUUUUCUUCUUUGUGUUUUCUUUAAGGCUGUGACAUCACAGGUUUUUGGACAUUAGACAUCUCAGAGAAUCUUAUCUCUUAGCUCCUUACCCAGCAGGGAACAUUUGUCAAUGCACCCCAAGGGAUGAUGCUCUGUAAGAGCCCUGAGAGUCCCAGUUCUCCUUGGGAAACUAAUUCUUGAAUUGCACAUGAAAGAGUGUUAAAUCAUGCCAAACAAAGGAACACCGUUUACCUAAAAAUAUGUGUGGCCACAAUUACUGAAGCUUCUCUUCUGAAGGCUUCCCUUUCGAUGUGAUUUUUAUUCAAUAUUUACUUUAAAGAAAUAGCACUUGGAAAAUGAAAACAAGAAAUCUGAAUGGUUUUCCUUUUUUUCAUGAAUAAAGAUUUUUAUCAUUUUGUCAUUUCUUUACAGGGGACUCUUUUACUUUGAAAAUGAAAUACUCAAUAAAAGAUGAAAAAGCUUAUUAGACUUUGGGAAAAAGGAAGUAAACAGUUUUCUGGGAUGAGUGACUUUAUUGCUUUAACACAUAACGAUUUUUAGAAGAAUUUAUAUUCUGCUUCUCUGGAAGGAGAGUGCAAAGCUGUGACUCAUGUGUUUUCUCUAACAAAUCUCUGCCUCUAACAAAUGGCUUUGUUUGUUGGUUUGAUGACCUUUGUUGAGAGCCUUUGAUAAUAAGGUUGAGAAUUAAGACGUCACCAGACAGUGGUGCACAGAUGGGCUUCAGCUGAUACUUUAGAAAAAUAAUAUCUUCAUCCUCCAGCUAUUUCCCCAUAAAUCCAGCCACCUUGCUGUUUCAGAAAAAAACUACUUUUUAAAAAUGCUGCUACUUUUUUCCAUGAUUAAAAAUCGUCCUACCAUUUCUUUCCUCCUAGUAAUUGUAUAAAUAAAAAGCAUAAAGUAGAAGGGGCUGAAAUCUCAGGAAAAGAGCAAUACUUUUUCCACAUCAAACAUGCUAUCUUUUUUUGAGGGUCACUUUUAAGUUUCCGGAGAGCCUCUUUACAUUUUUAGCAUCACAGGUCUGAAAAUGAAUUAGUGGCUACGUUGAGUCACCUCAAGAAAUUAAGUUUCUGUGUUUGUGCAAUCUUUGGGAUUUGAGCAUGAGGUUUCAUUUUAGUUAGAAGGAAACCACACUACCAGAAAUAAGGUUCUCCCUAUCAUUUUUUCCCAGGGCCAUUUCAGGUGAUGAAACAUAACUAAUCAGGAAAGAAAAUACAACUAUUUCAAUUGCUCGAGGCUGUAAAGAAAUUAGGGGAAGCUCAGAAAACUGAUCGGUGGAGUUGAAAACCAAUGUUUGAACCCUGUCCAGUCUCAAGUGUGUUUCUUUAUGGAUGCGUGUAUGUGAGUGUGUGUGCUAUGAGAGACAUGAUGUGAAUAACCUCUAUUCUGUACAUAAAUAUGGUUUCCCGGAAUGGCAGAAUAAACAGUGAUCUCUAUGAUUUGCAUUUAGAAGUUCUAGGUAAGACUCUCCUGCCCUUUUCCAAAUUUCCUCUAUCUGCCUAGAUUCUGAGUUCUGACACCUUUUCAACAUGUGGCAAGGCAUUUAAUUUUGCUCUUAUAGUUCAGGAUUUGCAUUUGUAAAAUCAUAUAGACUUAGGUUCAGGCAAGGGCAUAAAACAGUAUUAAUAGAGGUUCAAAGGGUAGUGGAUUUCACAUAUGUUUAGUCACAACUAUAUGAUGGACAUGCUAGCACUCAUUUUCUCCUUUAAGAUGUAAAAUAAUGUUGUAAAUGAGAUGGUGUUAUUUGGCUCUGAGGAUAUUAAGAUGAGAAAUUAAAUAACUUUUCUAAGAUCGUAGAGAGUCAGAAUUGUUAGAAAAGGAAAUCAAAGAUGGAUCUAUCGGAUUCUAGUGCCACAGAUUCUGCCUGGACCUACUGCAGCACUGAGCUGGUUAGGAAAUCUGGAAUAUCUAUUGUAGGAAAAGAGAAAAGAUUGCUGAAUUAAAGGUAAGCUUGGUAUGCGCCACAAUUUUAAAUAAAUACUUAUAGUCACUGAAGUUAUUUUUUUUUGUUUGUUUUUUGUUUUUAAUUCUUAAGCUUUAUGACCAGAUAAUUUACAGAUCCCCUACUUUAAGCCUUCCAUGAGUUGGCAAAAGUGCCAUUAUCACACACAUCCAGUAGUUCUACAGUUGUGUUUGUGAAUACCUGAAUUCCAACAGCCUGACCUUGUAAGAAUUCACCUGCGAAGUUUGCUAACAUAUCUCGUCACACUGAAUUUUAAAAGCCUCUGAUCUUAAAGAUCAUCUAUAAAAUGUGAGAAAUGCUAAAUAUUCUUUACUUGAUGCUGUACAUAAACCUCGCUAAAAUACCUUUCAAUAAGUAAAAGGCAGUAUUUUUGAUAUAGGUAAUUUUAAUGAAAUUGGCAUAGUUAAGACCAAAAAGAUAAAGGGGACAUUGUCAGUUUACCUUUGGCUCAUGCCUUGACAGGCUAGUGAACACAACUUGAAACACAGGUGAAUCUUGCUCUGUUCUAUGAGACAGGGAAGGGAUCUUCUCAGUAUUUAAAUAUAUUAAUAUAACCCGUUAUAGAAAUCUAAAUAUAAAACCAAUCUCCUAUAGGUUCUGAGAAGGUAUUCACCGUUUUCCUGAAAAAUUUAACACUCCACAUUCAAGUUUAACCAUCUCUGUAGAAGGGAAAGAGAGUGAUAGUACUUGUUGAACUAGAAUUAAUAUUAAAAUUCAAACAGCUGACCAUAUUCACUUAGCCACCAACCAAUCUUAUUUCAAUCAGGACCAUCCAACAGAAACAUUCCAUCAGCCAUACAUGAUCUGAAUUCUAGAGUAUGAGAUCAAUUCAAAUAUGGUACACAUGUAAAAGUCAUGAGACAUUUUGGUCUUGUAAUAAAUAAGGCAGUGGCCAACUUUUACUCAUUAGUAGCUUUUUUGAGAUAAGCUAUCAAGUCUUCCCUUUCUCCCUUCUAAAUGCCAGCGAAGAUCAUUUUUGUUCCAGGGAUGUACUUCUUGGGAUUCUCCAGGUACUCCAUCAGUGUCUCCUCUCCCCAGGUGAUGCCUUUGUUCUUGUUGGCAUCUGUAAAGUGAAUCCAGGAGCCUGACCUGUCUUCCACCCAAAGAGACCAUGGAGGUUUGGACCAGUCUUGUGCUUGCCUCCCUUUUCUACAGUGUGGCACUGGGCACACUUCUGAACAAAAAUCUUCUUGCCCUUCUCAACAUCGCCCAUUUUAAAAUCGUUCUUUCGCCGAGCUCAACAGGCAAACCACCACUCGCAGGCCUGACGUCCCGCUUUCUAGCAGUCACUUGAAGUUAUGUUUAUAUACUCUAGGCAAUGAAGGGGUGUUUUAGAGUCUCAGAAGCUGUAGGUAUAUGUCCCACUGAGAAAGUUUAUAAAUUGUAAUUCAUUCCUCAGAUCUUAGUGUAACCUGUUACACAAAAGUUGGUUUUAAACAUAUUUGACUUUUUAAUUUCUGAAAGGGUCUAGUUCAUGGCUGUGAACAUUUUAAGUGGUCAGUAGUUCACUGAAUUUUGGUUUGGGGGCACCAACUGCCACCUUCAUACACAUACACUUGCGUAUUUAUUUUGAUAAUUUACUUAAUAAUGUGUUUAUAUUCAUAUAUGUAUAUUUCUACUCUUUAAGCAAUCAAAAUAGAAUGCUGUGACUUGUCUCUUCACUGGCAUGUGUACCUCUGAUCUCAUAGAUGACCAAUAAUACCCCUUUGCUCUAUGCUUCCAUACUCGUUUGUUCCUUCUGUGAUCAUUAUCACACUUGUCAUUACUGGUUUAACACCUGUUCUCUCUACAAAACAUCACUUCCAUGAAAGCAAGGCCAUGACUGUCUUGUUCUCUGUCGUAUCAUCAGCCCUUUAACAAAAUGAGUAAUAUAUAAUAAGAGCUUAAGAAGUAGUCAAUGAAUUGAAAUGAAAUUGAAAUUCAGUAUUCUCUUUGUAAGGCAACUGUCCCUGAGAUGAACUACACAUUAAGCAAUGGUAAACUAAAAACUGUGUUUCUAGGCAAUAUCUUAGAAGCCAAUGAUGGACAAGAAAGUUAUAUGUGUGUGUAUAUAUAUGUAUAUAUGUAUAUAUGUUAUAAAGAUGCUUCAAAAAGUAAUUUGCUGAAAUCUAAGUUUUGCUUAGGAUUAUCUCAUAGUUGUAAUAUUACUCAUUCUUUUUGAAAAUAUUUUUGAUAGGUAUUCUAUUAGUUGCUAAGGAUUCAAAGAUAAAUACGAGAGACUAGUAGGGGAAUUAACUCUUUAGAAGCUCAGAAGGCUUUUAUGAAAAUGCACAUUACUUAGAUCAGUGGUCUUCAAGUUUUGGGUUGUGUAUCCCAAGGAGUAUUUUGAAAAUACGUAUGUGCCCCUUUGUACAUUUUAAAAUAAACAUUUUAAAUAAAU